AGAAAUCCUGCCGAACAGUCAUGAGCAAGUCCCCCAACAAGCACAACCGUCUUUACAUGGAAGCCCGUCCCUUGGAAGAGGGUCUCCCUGAGGCUAUUGAUGAGGGCCGCAUUGGUCCACGUGAUGAUCCCAAGGUACGCUCCAAGAUCCUCUCUGAGGAGUUUGGUUGGGACAAGGAUCUUGCCAAGAAGAUUUGGUGCUUUGGACCUGAGACCACUGGCCCGAACAUGGUUGUUGAUAUGUGUAAGGGAGUGCAGUACCUCAAUGAAAUCAAGGAUUCUGUUGUGGCUGGCUUCCAGUGGGCCUCAAAGGAGGGUGCACUGGCCGAGGAGAACAUGCGUGGCAUCUGCUUUGAGGUCUGUGAUGUUGUUCUUCAUGCUGAUGCAAUUCACAGGGGUGGUGGCCAGGUCAUUCCAACUGCCAGGAGGGUUAUUUAUGCUUCUCAGCUCACUGCCAAGCCAAGGCUGCUCGAGCCAGUUUAC
RNAcentral lists this long non-coding RNA (482 nucleotides) under Setaria italica (foxtail millet). RNAcentral's name for it is "long non-coding RNA (SITA_LNC003987)". The record is from RNAcentral. Lineage: Eukaryota; Viridiplantae; Streptophyta; Magnoliopsida; Poales; Poaceae.